This 253-nucleotide ribosomal RNA is filed under the name uncultured bacterium. RNAcentral describes it as "partial 16S ribosomal RNA". It matches the Rfam family "Bacterial small subunit ribosomal RNA", at positions 524 to 776 of the family's 1533-position model. The record is from RNAcentral.
UACGUAGGCAGCAAGCGUUGUUCGGAGUUACUGGGCGUAAAGGGUGUGUAGGCGGUUCUUUAAGUUUGGUGUGAAAUCUCCCGGCUCAACUGGGAGGGUGCGCCGAAUACUGAGGGACUAGAGUACGGGAGAGGAAAGUGGAAUUCCUGGUGUAGCGGUGAAAUGCGCAGAUAUCAGGAGGAACACCGGUGGUGUAGACGGCUUUCUGGACCGUAACUGACGCUGAGACACGAAAGCGUGGGUAGCAAACAGG